GUGCUCCACUCCGGCCGCCCAGGGAAGGGCACCAAGGGCUGGGCCGGUCGGCGUCCGG
Molecule: microRNA precursor, 58 nt
Filed under: Dasypus novemcinctus (nine-banded armadillo)
Lineage: Eukaryota; Metazoa; Chordata; Mammalia; Cingulata; Dasypodidae
Description: miRNA (ENSDNOG00000029878.1)
Source: RNAcentral